UAAAAUAUAUAUCUCCGAGCUUACAGCUCUAAGACAUUGACCUGUUAUGGGCUGUAAGCCGAUAGGGUUUAUCUGGAAACGGGUAGGCCUCCUGGUGCGGAAAGGAGAGUUAUGGUGCGGUCU
Molecule: non-coding RNA, 123 nt
Filed under: Desulfotomaculum nigrificans
Lineage: Bacteria; Bacillati; Bacillota; Clostridia; Eubacteriales; Desulfotomaculaceae
Also listed under: 1 other name
Description: MoCo sequence
Rfam family: Molybdenum/Tungsten riboswitch aptamer (Moco RNA motif)
Source: RNAcentral